Molecule: ribosomal RNA, 326 nt
Filed under: uncultured Rhizobiaceae bacterium
Lineage: Bacteria; Pseudomonadati; Pseudomonadota; Alphaproteobacteria; Hyphomicrobiales; Rhizobiaceae
Description: bacterial SSU rRNA
Rfam family: Bacterial small subunit ribosomal RNA
Source: RNAcentral
GCUCGUGUCGUGAGAUGUUGGGUUAAGUCCCGCAACGAGCGCAACCCUCGCCCUUAGUUGCCAGCAUUUAGUUGGGCACUCUAAGGGGACGUGCCGGUGAUAAGCCGAGAGGAAGGUGGGGAGUGACGUCAAGUCCUCAUGGCCCUUACGGGCUGGGCUACACACGUGCUACAAUGGUGGUGACAGUGGGCAGCGAGCACGCGAGUGUGAGCUAAUCUCCAAAAGACCAUCUCAGUUCGGAUUGCACUCUGCAACUCGAGUGCAUGAAGUUGGAAUCGCUAGUAAUCGCGGAUCAGCAUGCCGCGGUGAAUACGUUCCCGGGCCUU